RNAcentral lists this ribosomal RNA (253 nucleotides) under uncultured bacterium. Its description in RNAcentral is "partial 16S ribosomal RNA". It matches the Rfam family "Bacterial small subunit ribosomal RNA", at positions 524 to 776 of the family's 1533-position model. The record is from RNAcentral.
UACGGGGGGUGCAAGCGUUAUUCGGAAUUAUUGGGCGUAAAGGGUGCGUAGGCGGUUUUGUAAGUCAGAUGUGAAAUCCCGGGGCUUAACUUCGGAACUGCAUUUGAUACUGCAAGACUUGAGUAUGGGAGAGGAGAGCGGAAUUCCUGGUGUAGAGGUGAAAUUCGUAGAUAUCAGGAGGAACACCGGUGGCGAAGGCGGCUCUCUGGACCAAUACUGACGCUGAGGCACGAAGGCGUGGGGAGCAAACAGG